GAGAUUCCCCCAGUAGCGGCGAGCGAACGGGGAGUAGCCCAGAGCCUGAAUCAGUGUGUGUGUUAGUGGAAGCGUCUGGAAAGGCGUGCGAUACAGGGUGACAGCCCCGUACACAAAAAUGCACAUAUUGUGAGCUCGAUGAGUAGGGCGGGACACGUGGUAUCCUGUCUGAAUAUGGGGGGACCAUCCUCCAAGGCUAAAUACUCCUGACUGACCGAUAGUGAACCAGUACCGUGAGGGAAAGGCGAAAAGAAC
Molecule: ribosomal RNA, 255 nt
Filed under: Escherichia coli
Lineage: Bacteria; Pseudomonadati; Pseudomonadota; Gammaproteobacteria; Enterobacterales; Enterobacteriaceae
Description: partial 23S ribosomal RNA
Rfam family: Bacterial large subunit ribosomal RNA
Source: RNAcentral